CAGUCGCCGCGGGAAUACGUAGGGUGCAAGCGUUAAUCGGAAUUACUGGGCGUAAAGCGUGCGCAGGCGGUUUUGUAAGACAGAGGUGAAAUCCCCGGGCUCAACCUGGGAACUGCCUUUGUGACUGCAAGGCUAGAGUACGGCAGAGGGGGAUGGAAUUCCGCGUGUAGCAGUGAAAUGCGUAGAUAUGCGGAGGAACACCGAUGGCGAAGGCAAUCCCCUGGGCCUGUACUGACGCUCAUGCACGAAAGCGUGGGGAGCAAACAGGAUUAGAUACCCGAGUAGUCCCUGUCUCUUAUAC
Molecule: ribosomal RNA, 301 nt
Filed under: uncultured bacterium
Lineage: Bacteria
Description: partial 16S ribosomal RNA
Rfam family: Bacterial small subunit ribosomal RNA
Source: RNAcentral